Molecule: ribosomal RNA, 510 nt
Filed under: uncultured bacterium
Lineage: Bacteria
Description: bacterial SSU rRNA
Rfam family: Bacterial small subunit ribosomal RNA
Source: RNAcentral
GACGAACGCUGGCGGCGUGCCUAAUACAUGCAAGUCGAACGCACUCUCGUUUAGAUUGAAGGAGCUUGCUCCUGAUUGAUAAACAUUUGAGUGAGUGGCGGACGGGUGAGUAACACGUGGGUAACCUGCCCUAAAGUGGGGGAUAACAUUUGGAAACAGAUGCUAAUACCGCAUAAAACCUAACACCGCAUGGUGUAGGGUUGAAAGAUGGUUUCGGCUGUCACUUUAGGAUGGACCCGCGGUGCAUUAGUUAGUUGGUGAGGUAAAGGCUCACCAAGACCGUGAUGCAUAGCCGACCUGAGAGGGUAAUCGGCCACACUGGGACUGAGACACGGCCCAGACUCCUACGGGAGGCAGCAGUAGGGAAUCUUCCACAAUGGACGAAAGUCUGAUGGAGCAACGCCGCGUGAGUGAAGAAGGUUUUCGGAUCGUAAAACUCUGUUGUUGGAGAAGAAUGUAUCUGAUAGUAACUGAUCAGGUAGUGACGGUAUCCAACCAGAAAGCCAACGG